CUGACAAAGGCGUCCUUCCCCCGUUGAACCAACCGGGAGCAGGGAAAAUGAACCAUGCCCAGUUGUACGAGAGGAACCAACCGAAAAUUACACUGACGGUGAGAGCAGCACAACCCUCAGACGCCGGCAUAUAUUGCUGUGAUGUAUGGUACAAUUAUGUCACCGGGGAUACAAGGUAUUAUGGUGCUCAACGUGAUGGCCAAAAUAAAAAAUGUCAGAACCUUAAAGUCGGCCAGAAUACGAAACUCUCAAGAAAUGGAUGUUCUAGUGUGGACAUUUCAGCUGGUCUUUUUGUUGGUCUACUGACAUUACUCGUGUAAAUUGGAUGUAUUAUUUGGUCUGCUUAUGUUAUAAUUAAGGAAUUUGAAAAUAUAUCUCAAUUAUUUCACGUGAACAUCUGAAAACGAGAGACGUUACCAAAUAUUGGAAAGUUUAUCUCGUCAAAAAAAGGAAGCAACAAUAUUUUAUUUGGAUGAAAUUUAUUCCAC
Molecule: long non-coding RNA, 488 nt
Organism: Physella acuta
Lineage: Eukaryota; Metazoa; Mollusca; Gastropoda; Physidae
Source: RefSeq, a predicted model, not a curated record